This 231-nucleotide ribosomal RNA is filed under the name Bacillus sp. 192M. RNAcentral's name for it is "partial 16S ribosomal RNA". It matches the Rfam family "Bacterial small subunit ribosomal RNA", at positions 135 to 357 of the family's 1533-position model. The record is from RNAcentral. Lineage: Bacteria; Bacillati; Bacillota; Bacilli; Caryophanales; Bacillaceae.
AGACUGGGAUAACUCCGGGAAACCGGGGCUAAUACCGGAUAGUUCUUUUCCUCGCAUGAGGAAAAGUGGAAAGGCGGCUUCGGCUGCCACUUACAGAUGGACCCGCGGCGCAUUAGCUAGUUGGUGAGGUAACGGCUCACCAAGGCAACGAUGCGUAGCCGACCUGAGAGGGUGAUCGGCCACACUGGGACUGAGACACGGCCCAGACUCCUACGGGAGGCAGCAGUGGUC